UUAUAUGCCCACAUUAAAUUCUUCCCAAUUUUGAGGCUAAUCAAAAUUUUGUUUGUACCUCCUCAUUUGCUUUUCAGAGGAUCUUCUAGAAGAUUUGCACUAUCAGCUUGGUAUUCAGUUCUCUAGCUUGAAAUGAUUUCAGUGCCUAAUGAAGGAGCUGGACUUGGAGAUCUCUCUCACCUCUGAAGUUGUGUAAGUGAAGUAUACUGACCCAGUGUGACCACGCUGCUAUUCGAAGACUUACUCAAAGUUUUCAAACAGACUAACCAUGUGGGACUGUGAUUUAGCAAGGAAAACAGCCAGAAUAAACAUGUCAGUGUCUCCGUUUUAUGGUGGCUUCAUGUGCAGCAUUGUGACCUAUACCUCGGAGUUUUUCUUAUACCAGAUGAAGCUUGUUCUAUAGUCUUCACAAGGACAUAACACUUGUCAUAAGUAAAUGUUUCUAUUCUCUUGAUAUCAUUCCGAUUAUAUCAAAACGUGCUUUGAAACAACAAGCAGUAGAAUCACUUGGUAUAAUCUUGUCCUCAGUUGACAUGUUUACUUAUUUUUAUCCAGCCUAUGUUUGAAGUCCAACAUGAGCUCAUUUCUCAUGCUGGGGUGGAAUGUAUGAAGGGAUCCAAUUCUUUUGCAUCUUUAGAGAUUAUCUCAUGAAGCAAGGUUCAAUUUAGAACUCUGAGAUCUAACACUGAUUACUUAACUUUACGAGGAAAUACACAAAAAAAUCUGAAUGUCCAGACAAAAGCUGGAAAAAAAAACUUAUCUGUAUCUGCUUCAUCCUUUAUAAAAUGGAAACCUACAAGUGUUUUCCUAAUAAAAUUGUAGUGAACCUGCA
This is a long non-coding RNA of Homo sapiens (human), 832 nucleotides long. RefSeq lists it as uncharacterized. The record is from RefSeq and is a predicted model, not a curated record. The transcript is spliced from 2 exons. NCBI's taxonomy places the organism in Eukaryota, Metazoa, Chordata, Mammalia, Primates, Hominidae.